UACGAAGGGUGCAAGCGUUACUCGGAAUUACUGGGCGUAAAGCGUGCGUAGGUGGUGAGUUAAGUCUGUCGUGAAAGCCCCGGGCUCAACCUGGGAAUGGCGAUGGAUACUGGCUCGCUAGAGUGCGGUAGAGGAGAGUGGAAUUCUCGGUGUAGAGGUGAAAUUCGUAGAUAUCGAGAGGAACACCGGUGGCGAAGGCGGCGAUCUGGACGAUGACUGACGCUGAGACGCGAAAGCGUGGGGAGCAAACAGG
Molecule: ribosomal RNA, 253 nt
Filed under: uncultured bacterium
Lineage: Bacteria
Description: partial 16S ribosomal RNA
Rfam family: Bacterial small subunit ribosomal RNA
Source: RNAcentral